This 507-nucleotide ribosomal RNA is filed under the name uncultured bacterium. RNAcentral's name for it is "bacterial SSU rRNA". It matches the Rfam family "Bacterial small subunit ribosomal RNA", at positions 19 to 518 of the family's 1533-position model. The record is from RNAcentral.
CUGGCUCAGGAUGAACGCUAGCGACAGGCUUAACACAUGCAAGUCGAGGGGCAGCACGGGAGUAGCAAGUACUUGGUGGCGACCGGCGACACGGGUGAGUAACGCGUAUGCAACCUACCUAUCAGAGGGGAAUAACCCGGCGAAAGUCGGACUAAUACCGCAUAAACAGGGGCACCGCAUGGUGAUAUUUGUUAAGAAAUUCGCUGAUAGAUGGGCAUGCGUUCCAUUAGGUAGUUGGUGAGGUAACGGCUCACCAAGCCGACGAUGGAUAGGGGAACUGAGAGGUUGGUCCCCCACACUGGUACUGAGACACGGACCAGACUCCUACGGGAGGCAGCAGUGAGGAAUAUUGGUCAAUGGGCGGGAGCCUGAACCAGCCAAGUCGCCGUGAAGGAAGAAGGAUCUAUGGUUCGUAAACUUCUUUUGCAGGGGAAUAAAGUGCAGGACGUGUCCUGUUUUGUAUGUACCCUGAGAAUAAGGAUCGGCUAACUCCGUGCCAGCCGCCGC